RNAcentral lists this ribosomal RNA (1181 nucleotides) under uncultured fungus. Its description in RNAcentral is "eukaryotic LSU rRNA". The stretch from base 546 to 1181 matches the Rfam family "Eukaryotic large subunit ribosomal RNA", at positions 1 to 649 of the family's 3401-position model. Lineage: Eukaryota; Fungi. The record is from RNAcentral.
AAGUCGUAACAAGGUUUCCGUAGGUGAACCUGCGGAAGGAUCAUUACAGAGAGGGGCCUCGCGCUCCAGGGGGCUUCGGCCCCGACUCUCAACCCAGUGACUAUAUACCUGUACGUUGCUUUGGCGGGCCUUGAGGUCAUGCUCAUGCCGGUUCGCCGACGAGUGCCCGUCAGAAGCCCCCCAAAACUCGUUUUACCAGUGUCGUCCGAGUCCUAUAUCAAUAAGCAAAACUUUCAACAGCGGAUCUCUUGGUUCUGGCAUCGAUGAAGAACGCAGCGAAAUGCGAUAAGUAAUGUGAAUUGCAGAAUUCAGUGAAUCAUCGAAUCUUUGAACGCACAUUGCGCCCCUCGGUAUUCCGGGGGGCAUGCCUGUUCGAGCGUCAUUACACCCCUCAAGCGUAGCUUGGUAAUGGGCGUCGCUUCCCGCCAAGGGGGCGUGCCUCAAAAAUCGUGGCGGUCCAGCGUGACUUUGAACGUAGUAAUUUCUUCCCGUUCUGAAAGUUUCGCGCUAUGGCCAGCCAAAAAACCAUUUUUAUUUUCCACGAUUGACCUCGGAUCAGGUAGGGAUACCCGCUGAACUUAAGCAUAUCAAUAAGCGGAGGAAAAGAAACCAACAGGGAUUGCCUCAGUAACGGCGAGUGAAGCGGCAACAGCUCAAAUUUGAAAUCUGGCUCCAAUCGGGGUCCGAGUUGUAAUUUGUAGAGGAUGUUUCGGGCGCGGUACCGGCCUAAGUUCCUUGGAACAGGGCGUCAUAGAGGGUGAGAAUCCCGUAUGUGGCCGGCCUCCAAGCCCACACGAAGCUCCUUCGACGAGUCGAGUUGUUUGGGAAUGCAGCUCAAAAUGGGUGGUAAAUUUCAUCUAAAGCUAAAUACCUGCCAGAGACCGAUAGCGCACAAGUAGAGUGAUCGAAAGAUGAAAAGCACUUUGGAAAGAGAGUUAAAAAGUACGUGAAAUUGUUGAAAGGGAAGCGCUUGCGACCAGACCUGUCCGCAGUCGUUCAGCGGUGGUUUUCCACCGUGCACUCGUCUGUGAUCAGGCCAGCAUCGGUUCCGGCGGUCGGAAAAAGGCACCAGGAACGUAGCUCCUCUCGGGGAGUGUUAUAGCCUGGAGCGACAUACGGCCAGUUGGGACCGAGGACCGCGCCUUUGGGCAAGGAUGCUGGCGUAAUGGUCGUAAGCGGCC